CUGCGCUCGAGCGCGGUCCCCCGGGCUGACGGCCAGCCCUGCGGAUGGACGGGCCGUGUGCCCUGUCGCCCUGCGCCUGCUGAACUCCGAGCACCCGAGGAUGUCUGCGCUGAGGAAGGUCUGUAUGAGCUGUUGGCUGUUGUGCAGGCCGGCUGGGGCCACGUGUGGACAGCCAGGAAGACCUGACCUUCCUCUGGGAUAUGUUUGGUGAGAAAAGCCUGCAUUCACCGGUAAAGAAGUUACUCGUCGAGCACCAUUUUCCUUUAGAUCUUCACAAUAUCCUGGGUAGCCUUAUGUUGUGAGGUGGAAGUCUCUACUCUUCUGUGGCUGCUGUGGCCAAGACUUCCAAUACUGUGUUAGCAUCCUCGCCUUGUUCCUGAUGUUAAGCAGGAAGCUUUUCCCUGUUGAGCAUGAUGCUAGCUGUGCACUGGUA
Molecule: long non-coding RNA, 433 nt
Organism: Canis lupus familiaris (dog)
Lineage: Eukaryota; Metazoa; Chordata; Mammalia; Carnivora; Canidae
Exons: 5
Source: RefSeq, a predicted model, not a curated record